RNAcentral lists this transfer RNA (68 nucleotides) under Marmota monax (woodchuck). Its description in RNAcentral is "tRNA.Ala". The stretch from base 5 to 65 matches the Rfam family "tRNA", at positions 6 to 65 of the family's 71-position model. Rfam says of the family: Transfer RNA (tRNA) molecules are approximately 80 nucleotides in length. Their secondary structure includes four short double-helical elements and three loops (D, anti-codon, and T loops). The record is from RNAcentral. Lineage: Eukaryota; Metazoa; Chordata; Mammalia; Rodentia; Sciuridae.
GGAUUGUGGCUCAGUGGUAGAGCGCUUGCCUAGCAUACAUGAGAUGCUGGGUUCGAUCCCCAGCACCA